CCAAGCUUGCUUGGUGGAUCAGUGGCGAACGGGUGAGUAACACGUGAGCAACCUGCCCUGGACUCUGGGAUAAGCGCUGGAAACGGCGUCUAAUACUGGAUAUGAGACGUGAUCUCAUGGUCGUGUUUGGAAAGAUUUUUCGGUCUGGGAUGGGCUCGCGGCCUAUCAGCUUGUUGGUGAGGUAAUGGCUCACCAAGGCGUCGACGGGUAGCCGGCCUGAGAGGGUGACCGGCCACACUGGGACUGAGACACGGCCCAGACUCCUACGGGAGGCAGCAGUGGGGAAUAUUGCACAAUGGGCGGAAGCCUGAUGCAGCAACGCCGCGUGAGGGAUGACGGCCUUCGGGUUGUAAACCUCUUUUAGCAGGGAAGAAGCGAAAGUGACGGUACCUGCAGAAAAAGCGCCGGCUAACUACGUGCCAGCAGCCGCGGUAAUACGUAGGGCGCAAGCGUUAUCCGGAAUUAUUGGGCGUAAAGAGCUCGUAGGCGGUUUGUCGCGUCUGCUGUGAAAUCCCGAGGCUCAACCUCGGGCCUGCAGUGGGUACGGGCAGACUAGAGUGCGGUAGGGGAGAUUGGAAUUCCUGGUGUAGCGGUGGAAUGCGCAGAUAUCAGGAGGAACACCGAUGGCGAAGGCAGAUCUCUGGGCCGUAACUGACGCUGAGGAGCGAAAGGGUGGGGAGCAAACAGGCUUAGAUACCC
This 699-nucleotide ribosomal RNA is filed under the name Microbacterium sp. Its description in RNAcentral is "bacterial SSU rRNA". It matches the Rfam family "Bacterial small subunit ribosomal RNA", at positions 74 to 787 of the family's 1533-position model. The record is from RNAcentral. Lineage: Bacteria; Bacillati; Actinomycetota; Actinomycetes; Micrococcales; Microbacteriaceae.